GACGAACGCUGGCGGCGUGCCUAACACAUGCAAGUCGAACGGAAAGGCCUCUUUCGGGGGGUACUCGAGUGGCGAACGGGUGAGUAACACGUGAGUAACCUGCCCUUGACUUUGGGAUAACUUCAGUAAACUGGGGCUAAUACCGGAUAGGAGCUCCUGCUGCAUGGUGGGGGUUGGAAAGUUUCGGCGGUUGGGGAUGGACUCGCGGCUUAUCAGCUUGUUGGUGGGGUAGUGGCUUACCAAGGCCUUGACGGGUAGCCGGCCUGAGAGGGUGACCGGCCACAUUGGGACUGAGAUACGGCCCAGACUCCUACGGGAGGAAGCAGGGGGGAAUAUUGCACAAGGGGUGGAAGCCGGAUGCAGCAACGCCGUGUGCGGGAUGACGGCCUUCGGGUUGUAAAACGCUUUCGCUCAUGACGAAGCUUUGUGUGACGGUAGUGGGUAAAGAAGCACCGGCUAACUACGUG
Molecule: ribosomal RNA, 467 nt
Filed under: uncultured bacterium
Lineage: Bacteria
Description: partial 16S ribosomal RNA
Rfam family: Bacterial small subunit ribosomal RNA
Source: RNAcentral